UAUUGCAAUCUGACAAAAAGACACUCUCUCUGACUCUCUCUAUUUUCUUACGCUACCCGGCCACGCAUCUUCAAAUCCAUAUUUUCUGUUUCUUCUCAUCCACACAAAUUUCUCACUAUUCUCCCUUUCUUUUCAAGCCUUUCUAUUAUCAUACAUCUGUGUUAUGAUUUUUUUGAUGGAUUGGAAUUUUUGUUAUGUUUUUUGAUUUUGAUUUUUGAUUUUUGGCUUACAAAACUCUCCGCUUUGGAUCGUGAGCACGCCAAAAUCUACCCAAUGGAGCUACGGGCUACGAAUGAGGUUCAUGCUAGCCUGGAAGAAUUGAAACGGCAUCUUGAGGCUUGAAACCCAAGCAGAUCAUCCACUUAUGUACCCUCUUGCAUGUCCUUUCAUGGGCUUAUAUCUUAGCAAUUUGGAAGUUUAUGAAGAAGAAGCUAAUAAGGUUGACCCUAACUGGUCUGUUUCCAUUUCGGCACGUUCGUCUGCAUGACCUUUGGUGGAAGGAAAGGCGGAUUGUACUGGAGAUUGUCGGCUUUGGUUCGCAAAAAAGGAACAGUAGUAAAGAUGAUAUAUUCGAACUCGAUGGUUGCAUUCGUAAACUCUGUAAAUAUAGAAAAUACAACCAUGAUCUCAAGAUUAGCCAUAGGGCAGAUACUUAAUUAGCGAUUCUCCAAUGCCGCAUGGAGAAAUAGUUAUCGGUGAACAAAAUGUUACCCUUGGAUAUUUCAAAAUGACGAGAAAUCAAAGGAAGUGUACAAUGUUGAUGAGAAAGGAAUGAGGAGGUUCUAUACGGGUGAUGUAGGGCGAUUCCAUGUUGACUUAUAAGCAAGUUGAGUUUGAAAUUAUAAGCAAACUAGUAUGGCCUCAUACAUAGUUUUCUUUAUAUUGCAGUGGCCCUUGUUUCCCUUAAAAAUCUUUUCUAUUGAUCUUCAAUACAUAUUAAGGCUUUCUGGAUUGUGCUGAAAUAAUGGAUGUUGCUUGAAGAAGGGCUCGUUGUACACCUAUGGAGAUCAUAGGUUUUAUUUAUCAUAUAUGGCUGGAACUUUUAGAGAAACCUCACAUGCAUUGUGCUGGAACCAUUAAAUGAUCAAGCAUUUAGUUGUUUGAUUCAUUCACUUCCAAGGAAAUUGAAUUUGUCUAUUUGUUAACGUUUAAUUUGUUUCAUUCUUCAAUGGCAUUUGUCCAGUUUCUAAGAAUUGAGGGGUGAUAGAUAUUUUGGAUGAUGGUACAAAAUACAGGUGGAUACUUUAUUUUUGGAUGUGUUUUUUGCCAACUAGAAAGAAUUAUUUGGAUA
Molecule: long non-coding RNA, 1291 nt
Organism: Olea europaea var. sylvestris
Lineage: Eukaryota; Viridiplantae; Streptophyta; Magnoliopsida; Lamiales; Oleaceae
Exons: 4
Source: RefSeq, a predicted model, not a curated record